This is a long non-coding RNA of Parambassis ranga (Indian glassy fish), 1077 nucleotides long. Lineage: Eukaryota; Metazoa; Chordata; Actinopteri; Ambassidae. The record is from Ensembl.
AGUGUGACUACAUUUGGAGCGACUCAACGGCAGUGAAGGAUCAGUGGGCAGGGACCGCGCCAGGCGGAGGAAGGAAGGGAAGGCUCACGGUGCGCGCUGUGUCAAAAAAACCAGAAAGGAGUGUGGCGUCAGUGAGACUGGGGAUGCCCGGGUGUUGCUCUCUCUUUGGGUCUGAACAGGGGGGGAAAACAUCCCUCUCACCGUGUUUCCCAGCCCCUGACUGGUGGAAUCUAUGAGCGAAACACAUUAUUUUGAUCUGAUGGAAUCUGAGUUUUACUGGCUGCUGUGUUUUGCCUUCAAGUGGAGAAUCAUCACACCGUCUGGUUCGUGUUCAUAAAUGCUCCUGCAAUUUUUUGAGAAGUAAAGAGUCAGUUAAAUCCUUCUGAGGGACGCCAUGGAGAAUCCGGUCCUGGAGCCCAGAUCGGAGCGGAUUGCCCGCUACAAGGCUGAGAGGAGGCGAGAGCUGGCUGAACGCUUCGGCACAGUGGAGGAGCUUCCUUCUAAAUGGGUGAGGAGAGAUUCGAGAGAGGUGCACGAGCCAGCACACAGAGGGAUGUUUAACUCGGACGGCCGUGGUGAAAGAGUGAAUGGCAGAACACAAGCAGAGCUUACAAAUGGAUUGGAGGCAGACACUCCUCCAGAGACCAACUACCUGAGAAGCCAGGACUCUGCCAGCAUUCAGAGUGAGGAGGGGCCCACUGUCCCUCUCGGACUCGACGCUCCGCAGCUCCACACACGGGUGUCAGUGGGCCAGUUGAGAAGUGCCCUUCUGCAGCAAUCGGAGAGUGGAGCGCAGCCCGAGAAAGUCUGCCCUGAUGCAGGGCGAGCCACCUCCUCUCUGGACCUGGCUGUGAAGCCGGGCUCUGAGGGGAGCCGGCGACGCACUCGGCGUUACCUCCCAGGAGGGUCAAUUGGCGGUCGCAAGACCAGCGAACGCUUCAGGACACAGCCAAUCACAGCCAAUGAGAUGGAGGAGAGCAGCGGGUAGGGGCUGUUUGCUGUGGCACCUGGUCUGUUACUACCAAAGAAAAUGCUGUUUGCAGUGGGCUGUUUUUGGCGUGUUGAUAUUUUUAUCAC